RNAcentral lists this ribosomal RNA (424 nucleotides) under uncultured bacterium. Its description in RNAcentral is "bacterial SSU rRNA". It matches the Rfam family "Bacterial small subunit ribosomal RNA", at positions 355 to 776 of the family's 1533-position model. RNAcentral also lists the same sequence under 1 other name. The record is from RNAcentral.
UGAGGAAUAUUGGUCAAUGGACGGAAGUCUGAACCAGCCAUGCCGCGUGCAGGACUAAGGCCCUAUGGGUCGUAAACUGCUUUUGUGGUGGAGCAAUAAGGUUCACGUGUGGACCGAUGAGAGUACACUACGAAUAAGCAUCGGCUAACUCCGUGCCAGCAGCCGCGGUAAUACGGAGGAUGCAAGCGUUAUCCGGAUUUAUUGGGUUUAAAGGGUGCGUAGGCUGUGCUGCAAGUCGGAGGUGAAAUAUCCUGGCUCAACCGGGAGGGUGCCUUCGAUACUGCAGUGCUGGAAUACUGUUGCCGCGGGAGGAAUGAGUAGUGUAGCGGUGAAAUGCAUAGAUAUUACUCAGAACACCGAUUGCGAAGGCAUCUCGCGAAGCAGUUAUUGACGCUGAGGCACGAAAGCGUGGGGAUCAAACAGG